UACGUAGGGGGCAAGCGUUGUCCGGAAUCAUUGGGCGUAAAGCGCGUGUAGGCGGCCCGAUAAGUCCGCUGUGAAAUUCCAGGGCUCAACCCUGGGAUGCCGGUGGAUACUGUCGGGCUCGAGUCCGGAAGAGGAGUGUGGAAUUCCUGGUGUAGCGGUGAAAUGCGCAGAUAUCGGGAGGAACACCAGUAGCGAAGGCGGCCCGCUGGGCCAGUCCUGACGCUGAGACGCGAAAGCGAGGGGAGCGAACAGG
RNAcentral lists this ribosomal RNA (253 nucleotides) under uncultured bacterium. RNAcentral's name for it is "partial 16S ribosomal RNA". It matches the Rfam family "Bacterial small subunit ribosomal RNA", at positions 524 to 776 of the family's 1533-position model. The record is from RNAcentral.